RNAcentral lists this ribosomal RNA (485 nucleotides) under uncultured bacterium. Its description in RNAcentral is "partial 16S ribosomal RNA". It matches the Rfam family "Bacterial small subunit ribosomal RNA", at positions 28 to 523 of the family's 1533-position model. The record is from RNAcentral.
GACGAACGCUGGCGGCGUGCUUAACACAUGCAAGUCGAACGGUGAAAGCGGAGCUUGCUCCGCUGGAUCAGUGGCGAACGGGUGAGUAACACGUGGGCAACCUGCCCCUCACUUCGGGAUAACUCCGGGAAACCGGGGCUAAUACCGGAUAUGACCUCCUUGGGCAUCCUUGGAGGUGGAAAGUUUUUCGGUGAGGGAUGGGCCCGCGGCCUAUCAGCUUGUUGGUGAGGUAGUGGCUCACCAAGGCGACGACGGGUAGCCGGCCUGAGCGGGCGACCGGCAACACGGGGACUGGGACACGGCCCGGACGCCUACGGGAGGAAGCAGUGGGGAAUAUUGCGCAGUGGGCGAAAGCCUGACGCAGCAACGCCGCGUGCGGGAUGACGGCCUUCGGGUUGUAAACCGCUUUCAGCAGGGAAGAAGCCGCAAGGUGACGGUACCUGCAGAAGAAGCACCGGCUAACUACGUGCCAGCCGCCGCCGUAA